Molecule: unclassified non-coding RNA, 148 nt
Organism: Papio anubis (olive baboon)
Lineage: Eukaryota; Metazoa; Chordata; Mammalia; Primates; Cercopithecidae
Rfam family: Metazoan signal recognition particle RNA
About the family: The signal recognition particle (SRP) is a universally conserved ribonucleoprotein. It is involved in the co-translational targeting of proteins to membranes.
Source: Ensembl
GCCGGGCGUGGUGGCACACACCUGUAAUCCCAGCUACUCGGGAGGCUGAGGCAGGAGACUUGCUUGAGCCCGGGAGGCAGAGAUUGCAGUGAGCAGAGAUCUUGCCACUGCACUCCAGCCUGGCCGACAGAGCGAGACUCUGUCUCAA